RNAcentral lists this ribosomal RNA (513 nucleotides) under uncultured bacterium. RNAcentral describes it as "bacterial SSU rRNA". It matches the Rfam family "Bacterial small subunit ribosomal RNA", at positions 28 to 518 of the family's 1533-position model. The record is from RNAcentral.
CAGACGAACGCUGGCGGCGUGCUUAACACAUGCAAGUCGAACGCGAAAGGGACUUCGGUCCUGAGUAAAGUGGCGCACGGGUGAGUAACGCGUAGAUAACCUGUCUUCAUGUCUGGAAUAAUACGCCGAAAGGGGUACUAAUACCGGAUAUUCUUGCUUUUCAUAAGUUAUGCAAGCAAAGGUGGCCUCUGCAUAUGCUACUGCAUGAAGAGGGGUCUGCGUACCAUUAGCUAGUAGGUGGGGUAAUGGCCUACCUAGGCGACGAUGGUUAGCGGGUCUGAGAGGAUGAUCCGCCACACUGGCACUGGAACACGGGCCAGACUCCUACGGGAGGCAGCAGUGAGGAAUAUUGCGCAAUGGGGGAAACCCUGACGCAGCGACGCCGCGUGAGUGAAGGAAGGCCUUCGGGUCGUAAAGCUCUGUCAAGAGGAAAGAAGUGUACAAUGGCUAAUACCUGUUGUAUUUGACGGUACCUCUAAAGGAAGCACCGGCUAACUCCGUGCCAGCAGCCGC